UUUUUAAAACAUGUCUUUUUGAUUAUAAUUUAAAGUCUAACCUGCCCAAUGAGGAUUUAAAUGGCCGCGGUAAUUUGACCGUGCAAAGGUAGCAUAAUCAUUAGUUUUUUAAUUGAAAGCUGGAAUGAACGGUUGGACGAGAAAAUAACUGUCUCAAUUUAAUUUAAUUAGAAUUUUAUUUGUAAGUAAAAAAGCUUACAUAAUUUUAAAAGACGAGAAGACCCUAUAGAAUUUUAUAUAAAGAUAUAUUUAUUAUUUUUAGAAUUUUUAUUAGUUAAUAUAUUGAAUAUUUUGUUGGGGUGGCAGAAAAAUUAAAUAAACUUUUUUUUUAUUAAACCAUUAAUUUAUGAGUUAUUGAUCCAUUUUUUAUGAUUAUAAGAUUAAAUUACCUUAGGGAUAACAGCGUAAUUUUUUUUUAGAGUUCUAAUCGAAAAAAGAGUUUGCGACCUCGAUGUUGGAUUAAAAUAAACUUUUGGKGCAGGGGCUAAAAAGUUAGGUCUGUCCGACCUUUAAAAUUUUACAUGAUCUGAGUAAAAACCCGGG
This 543-nucleotide ribosomal RNA is filed under the name Parapucaya amazonica. Its description in RNAcentral is "partial large subunit ribosomal RNA". It matches the Rfam family "Bacterial large subunit ribosomal RNA", at positions 1805 to 2621 of the family's 2925-position model. The record is from RNAcentral. Lineage: Eukaryota; Metazoa; Arthropoda; Insecta; Coleoptera; Scarabaeidae.